GAGGUUUUAGUAUAAUUGAGUAUAUUUUUUUUUCGUGAAAGUGGUUUAAAUCUUA
Molecule: transfer RNA, 55 nt
Filed under: Passalurus ambiguus
Lineage: Eukaryota; Metazoa; Nematoda; Chromadorea; Rhabditida; Oxyuridae
Description: tRNA-Glu
Source: RNAcentral